AAUUAAAAAGAAACAAUAAUGUAACUUUUGCAGCAAAAAUGUAACAUUUCAGGAAACGAAAUGUAACUUACGACUCAGUGGCCCUGGCAACACUGCCCUGUUCUCCGCUUACGGACAUCCAUAAAGGACACAUAGGGACAAAACGGGUGCAUUGUAUAUGUCCAUGCUUUAUUAUUUUUUUAUAAUUCUUCGUUAUUUUCACUGUAUUAGUUGAAUCAUCGUCAUUAUUUUUCAGUAAUAUGAUUUUCUUUUUUUGCAUAAUUUUUGUAACUUGUACACCUACCUGUAACUCUGAUAGGUAAAUGUUAGUUUCAAUGCAUUGGUUAUUUAUUUUCUUAUAUUUCUUUGUUUAUUUUCUGUGUUUUUACUUUUGUUUUAUUUUGCGCUUGUUGGCGGCACAACAGUUAUUUGAAGGUCCCAUAAUUAUUUAAAAAUUGGCAUUCUUAUUUAUUUUAACAUACAUUAUACAAAAUGUGAAGACAAGACAGGUAAAGCGCUAGCUGGAGGGACAGAACCACCACUUUUUCCAAAAAAAAUUUACUCUUUUGAAUGAUACUGUUUUGUGUAGCCCUGAACUGAGCUUAUAAUAGACAACAACACAGAAGAAACACUAUUGUUCUUUCACGGCACUACAUAGAGCUAUACGAUACCAUGACACCCGUUCAGAUAAACUUUAUCAAUUCUAACUAGGGAGGUCAUUAUAAACGUAUUAAUUGUUCAGGACUUUAGUGAUGCCUCGGUCAGUGGUAGUAUAGACUAUGGUAUGUGAUUCGUAUUAUUAUAGUGUAAAUCCGCAAGUGUUCGAGCUGUACAACUACAGUAAUAACGUUAUGUCGCCAACUCGCGUCUCCCAGAGUUUGUGUUCACCAGCACCCGGCCCCUUUAACUGGAACCCGUAGAUCCGAACUUGUGCGCGUUAUGUCGUUGGGCGCGCGCGGCCGGCGGUCGCAGCCGACUGCGACUCGUUGUCUACAGUGUGCUGCAGCACGCCACAUUAUUACAAUACUUACAAUAGAUGUAACUAUCACAUGUCCUGAGAUAUAAUGGCGGCAGAUUUUUACGAGCGAUGGUCAUAGUUGAGUAGCAAUAACUGGUUACGGUUACAUCAACACUUGGCAUACAGCGAUGUGCCGUUAUGUCCGUCCGAGUAUCCCAGGGCAUCGCGAAAUGUAUUAAAUGUUGCGCAGACUCUCGACAAUGAGCCGCAGCGCCGCCGCCGGUCGCAAGCGCGCGCCCUCACAAGUUUGGUGAUACGCGGGCGCAGUUUUAGAGGGAAUUCGUCGCCACUACGUUAUCCUUUAUUUUCUUUUGUUACCUUCCCUUUUAUGUCACGUAUCGAUCUGUUAUUGUUUUACUCUUACCCCUCGACUCGACAACGAUAGACUCUCGUCUCGUAGUUUACUCAAACUUUAUUCAUGUGGCGGUUGUUUUUAAUAAAUUGCUUGCAGAAAGUAGCUGUUGGAGACUUUUACCUUUCAAUCCGCAUUAAUUGCACAGAACAUAAUUUAAAUAGUUUCCGCUAAUUAAUGUUCCGUACUUUCUUCUAACAGAGAGAAAGACACGAAACACUGAUUAGUAUGACCGAUAUAAAUGUAUGAGUGAGGGGCUAGUGUUAUUUUGUGUUUUACUUAAUACUAUGUUUCUUUGAAUGUUUAGUUUGCUUUAUAUGAUUUGUAAGUUUCCUGCUUUGUAUUAAAAUGUUAAGGCACGAGUCAUUUUGUUUUAUGUAACUUUAUUUUUAUGUUUCAAUAUAAAUAUUCUUAAGUUGUUUACAUUGUAAAAUUUAUUAGUAAAUCUAAUAAUACAUUGGAUAUGUAUUAAGGACUUUCUUUACGUCACUCGCUCGUCUAAACGUACAUACCUAUUAUGUCGCAGCACCGCACUGUCACACUUUUAAUAUUUAUGCUGUAAUUAAUACGAGGCCGCUCGUGAUUAACUUCACACCGAUCGUACAGCUCGGCAACAAUAUAGACCAUUAGAGACGCUUUUUUUAUCUUUUAAAAAUAAAAAUACACAAGUUAUUCACCCCUGUCAGAUAUUGGAUUAUUACUAUAUUUUAUUUUUAAUACUUGAUGUUUAAAAUCGAGGUUAUGCGAUAGGCUUUAGCGAACGUUAGGCAAGAAAAAAGAAGCCAAGUUCAGAAGUAGAAGAGAAGAGAAGAGAGAGUGCCGUCGGUGCGGUGAGGUAGUAGGUUGUAUAGUACUGCAUUACAACAUUUGGGAGGGACUGUAUAGCCUGCUAACUUUCCGGACCGCCGGCCGCGCAACGAUCCGCCGCAACACAACACGCCACAACGGGACAAUACUGCUCUGCACAUUCUAUAUAAUAACUACCAUUACAAUUACACAGUAUGUAAUCUGUUAUGUUAGCCGUAUGACUAUUUAGUUUUAUCAGUUUACAGUCUUACUAUGGAAAUUAGAGAAAAGUCGUUGAGAACUUCUAUGAGGUCCAGAAGUCAUCCGAGUCUAAUCCACCUUAAGUCGCAGCGUAAACGGUUGGUGAAGUCUAACUCAACAGUGCACACUGUUUGGCUCCUAACCAUAAUAUAGGAGGUAUUUAAUAGGCUUCUCUGUAACAAAUGACUAAUGCCAUUUCUUGUUUAUGUUCCAGUUUAGAUUCGACAACGUGACGAGCUUCUGCAUAUUGGAGGUGACUCCAACUGUUGGAGGACCCCACCUAGCGGUUUGACGCUGUGAACAAAAAAUGACGCAAUUCGUCAAAAUUGCAGUCGGAUAAAGCCUGCCAUAAUUACCAUUAUACAAUUUUAAGAGAUAAAAAAAUAUAUGUAGUGUUCUCCUUGAUGUUGUCUUCAAGAGUAAUUGUUCGCCGCUCUCGAAUACGAAGACGAAGAAAACAUUUUUAAGAAAAUGAUGAAUAAAAUCGUGUUAAAUUGACGCAUUAAACUCAACACUGUUUGAUAUACAAUGGUAAAAUGUAAAAUAUUUUAAAAUAAUUUUGUAUGUGAUGUUAAAAUAAUUGUGAUGAUCAUCAUGUUUGGAUCGUUGCUUUGUCAUUUGUAAUGAUUACAAUGUAUUAACUCACUUAUUAUAAAGUCGAGGGAAUGUAAUAUGUAUUGGCUAAAAAUUAAUAAACGUAUUUGUCAUA
Molecule: long non-coding RNA, 3105 nt
Organism: Manduca sexta (tobacco hornworm)
Lineage: Eukaryota; Metazoa; Arthropoda; Insecta; Lepidoptera; Sphingidae
Exons: 2
Source: RefSeq, a predicted model, not a curated record